AGCGAUCGGUUUGGAAUGAGUACAAUUUAAAUCCCUUAACGAGGAACAAUUGGAGGGCAAGUCUGGUGCCAGCAGCCGCGGUAAUUCCAGCUCCAAUAGGCGUAUAUUAAAGUUGUUGAGGUUAAAAAGCUCGUAGUUGAACCUUGGGCCUAGCCGGCCGGUCCGCCUCACCGCGUGCACUGGCUCGGCUGGGUCUUUCCUUCUGGAGAACCGCAUGCCCUUCACCUGGGUGUGCUGGGAACCAGGACUUUACUCUGAAUAAAUUAGAUCGCUUAAAGAAGGCCUAUGCUCGAAUACGAAUACAUUAGCAUCGGGCAUCAGUAUUCAAUUGUCAGAGGUGAAGCUACU
RNAcentral lists this ribosomal RNA (348 nucleotides) under uncultured fungus. Its description in RNAcentral is "bacterial SSU rRNA". It matches the Rfam family "Eukaryotic small subunit ribosomal RNA", at positions 499 to 860 of the family's 1831-position model. The record is from RNAcentral. Lineage: Eukaryota; Fungi.